AGUAAGUGAAGUCGGAGUGAAAAUUAUGUGUCAUUUUAGUUCGUCAUGUUUCAAUUUUUUAUAUCUUACAAAAUGGCUACCACAUGUCAAGAUAUAUCUUCAAUAAUAUUUUUCGACGCCGUCCGCUUCCGAACUUGAUUUUUAUUGUCUCGGUGUUAGUUUCUGUUUUUGUAUUGAAUCACCGUGGGAUUUCACUUCGAGUUUGCUCCGACGCUGUCAUUCAAUAGGAAUAACACAGUUUCAUAGCCGAAACUAUCAUCAUCACGAGUAUCCGAACAGCGGGAAAACAACAAACAUUGUGGUGCUGGUGAGUACCUAUACAACAUCCAACAUGGCUGCUAUACGUGUUGGAGAAACACAUUAUUGGUGCACGUCCAAAAAUAGAAAACUGAGCAGAAUAACAUGAAACACAAUUCCAAUAAGACGGGAAUUUCCAUAAGGUACAAAAUGGCCGAGCGGACGCGAGUUGAAUAAUUAAUAAUGACGGACGCGAGCCAGACUCGAACAUCAACUCAACUCAACAUCAUGAGUUUCAAGAGCUGAUGAGAUGAAACGCGACAGGCGAAAAUGUAGCAGUAAUAAGGUUUUCCCGAUUACCAACACGUCAACAACACAGUCAAUAAAAUACAAUACAACACAAUAAACAAUAAAAUACGAGUACUAUUAUAAUAAUAAUGUAAUAUUUAUAAAUGUGUUAUUUGAAUAUGAAUAAAUGUAAAA
Molecule: long non-coding RNA, 720 nt
Organism: Dalotia coriaria
Lineage: Eukaryota; Metazoa; Arthropoda; Insecta; Coleoptera; Staphylinidae
Exons: 3
Source: RefSeq, a predicted model, not a curated record